GUGCUCGCUUCAGCAGCCCAUAUGCUAAAAUUGGAAUGAUACAGAGAAGAUUAGCAUGGCCCCUGCUCAAUGAUGACACACAGGUUCAUAAAGUGUUCCAUCGUUUU
Molecule: small nuclear RNA, 107 nt
Organism: Suncus etruscus (white-toothed pygmy shrew)
Lineage: Eukaryota; Metazoa; Chordata; Mammalia; Eulipotyphla; Soricidae
Source: RefSeq, a predicted model, not a curated record